UACGUAGGGGGCUAGCGUUGUCCGGAAUCAUUGGGCGUAAAGCGCGUGUAGGCGGUCCGAUAAGUCCGCUGUGAAAGUCGAGGGCUCAACCCUCGAAUGCCGGUGGAUACUGUCGGGCUUGAGUACGGGAGAGGCGAGUGGAAUUCCGGGUGUAGUGGUGAAAUGCGUAGAGAUCCGGAGGAACACCAGUGGCGAAGGCGGCAUUCUGGACCGACAUUGACGCUGAGGAGCGAAAGCCAGGGGAGCAAACGGG
Molecule: ribosomal RNA, 253 nt
Filed under: uncultured bacterium
Lineage: Bacteria
Description: partial 16S ribosomal RNA
Rfam family: Bacterial small subunit ribosomal RNA
Source: RNAcentral